This 253-nucleotide ribosomal RNA is filed under the name uncultured bacterium. Its description in RNAcentral is "partial 16S ribosomal RNA". It matches the Rfam family "Bacterial small subunit ribosomal RNA", at positions 524 to 776 of the family's 1533-position model. The record is from RNAcentral.
UACGGGGGGGGCGAGCGUUGUUCGGAUUUACUGGGCGUAAAGGGCGCGUAGGCGGCGCAACAAGUCACUUGUGAAAUCUCCGGGCUUAACCCGGAGCGGCCAAGUGAUACUGUCGUGCUAGAGUGCGGAAGGGGCUACUGGAAUUCUCGGUGUAGCGGUGAAAUGCGUAGAUAUCGAGAGGAACACCUGCGGCGAAGGCGGGUAGCUGGGCCGACACUGACGCUGAGGCGCGAAAGCCAGGGGAGCGAACGGG